Molecule: ribosomal RNA, 1045 nt
Filed under: uncultured bacterium
Lineage: Bacteria
Description: bacterial SSU rRNA
Rfam family: Bacterial small subunit ribosomal RNA
Source: RNAcentral
AGAGUUUGAUCAUGGCUCAGGAUGAACGCUAGCGACAGGCCUAACACAUGCAAGUCGAGGGGCAUCGGGACGUAGCAAUACGUUGCCGGCGACCGGCGGAUGGGUGAGUAACGCGUAUGCAACCUACCCGUAGCAGGGGGAUAGCCCGUUGAAAGACGGAUUAAUACCCCGUAACACAGGGGCUCCGCAUGGAGAUUAUUGUUAAAGGGUCAUUUCUUUUAGAGGUGGUCCGGCUACGGAUGGGCAUGCGUUCCAUUAGGUAGUUGGUGUAGGUAACGGCUCACCAAGCCGACGAUGGAUAGGGGAACUGAGAGGUUGGUCCCCCACACUGGUACUGAGACACGGACCAGACUCCUACGGGAGGCAGCAGUGAGGAAUCUUGGUCAAUGGACGCAAGUCUGAACCAGCCAUGUCGCGUGAAGGAGGACGGCCCUAAGGGUUGUAAACUUCUUUUGCAGUGGAAUAAAGUUUGCCACGAGUUGGCGAUUUGCAAGUACGCUGCGAAUAAGGAUCGGCUAACUCCGUGCCAGCAGCCGCGGUAAUACGGAGGAUCCGGGCGUUAUCCGGAUUUAUUGGGUUUAAAGGGUGCGCAGGCGGGGAUUUAGGUCGGCGGUGAAAUUUCGGGGCUCAACCUCGAUAGUGCCGUUGAAACCGUUUCUCUUGAGUGCGGAUGAGGUAGGCGGAAUUUGUGGUGUAGCGGUGAAAUGCGUAGAUAUCACAAGGAACACCGAUUGCGGAGGCAGCUUACUAAACCGUUACUGACGCUCAUGCACGAAGGCGUGGGGAUCAAACAGGAUUAGAUACCCUGGUAGUCCACGCAGUAAACGAUGAUUACUUGCUGUUUGCGAUACACGGUAAGCGGCGUAGCGAAAGCGUUAAGUAAUCCACCUGGGGAGUACGUUCGCAAGAAUGAAACUCAAAGGAAUUGACGGGGGCCCGCACAAGCGGAGGAACAUGUGGUUUAAUUCGAUGAUACGCGAGGAACCUUACCCGGGCUUGAAAUGCAUUCGACUGGGUCGGAAACGGCCUUUCCCUUCGGGGCGGA